Molecule: signal recognition particle RNA, 98 nt
Filed under: Spirochaetales bacterium
Lineage: Bacteria; Pseudomonadati; Spirochaetota; Spirochaetia; Spirochaetales
Description: signal recognition particle sRNA small type
Rfam family: Bacterial small signal recognition particle RNA
About the family: The signal recognition particle (SRP) is a universally conserved ribonucleoprotein involved in the co-translational targeting of proteins to membranes. Archaeal SRP consists of a 7S RNA and homologues of the eukaryotic SRP19 and SRP54 proteins.
Source: RNAcentral
CAGCAGAUACCAGGCAUUGUGUGCCUCAAAACCCCGUCAGGACAGGGAUGUAGCAGCGGUAUGAGGAAUUCACAAGUGACCAGGACCAUUUGCUGCUA